Molecule: ribosomal RNA, 323 nt
Filed under: uncultured Synergistaceae bacterium
Lineage: Bacteria; Thermotogati; Synergistota; Synergistia; Synergistales; Synergistaceae
Description: bacterial SSU rRNA
Rfam family: Bacterial small subunit ribosomal RNA
Source: RNAcentral
GUUCGGGUUAAGUACCCGCAACGAGACCGCAACCCCUGUCAUUCACGUUGCCGAAUCGGUAACGGGCCGGGCACUCGUAGGGAUGGACCUGCCGGCGACAAGCCGGAGGAAGGUGGGGAUGACGUCAAGUCAUCAUGGCCCUUAUGUCCAGGGCGACACACGUGCUACAAUGGCCGGCACAACGGGAAGCGAGUUCGCGAGGACGAGCGGAUCCCUUAAAGCCGGUCGCAGUUCGGAUUGAAGUCUGCAACUCGACUUCAUGAAGCUGGAAUCGCUAGUAAUCGUGGAUCAGCCAAGCCGCGGUGAAUACGUUCCCGGGCCUU